AACCUAAAGCGUUCGUAGCCGGUUUUGUAAAUCUUCAGAUAAAGCCUGAAGCUUAACUCCAGAAAGUCUGAAGAGACUGCAAGACUUGAGAUCGGGUGAGGUUAAACGUACUUUCAGGGUAGGGGUAAAAUCCUGUAAUCCCGGAAGGACGACCAGUGGCGAAAGCGUUUAACUAGAACGAAUCUGACGGUAAGGAACGAAGGCUAGGGUAGCAAACCGGAUUAGAUACCCGGGUAGUCCUAGCUGUAAACAUUGCCCAUUUGAUGUUGCUUUUCCGUUGAGGGAAGGCAGUGUCGGAGCGAAGGUGUUAAAUGGGCCGCUUGGGAAGUAUGGUCGCAAGACUGAAACUUAAAGGAAUUGGCGGGGGAGCACCGCAACGGGAGGAAUGUGCGGUUUAAUUGGAUUCAACGCCGGAAAACUCACCUGGAACGACCUGUGCAUGAGAGUCAACCUGACGAGCUUACUCGAUAGCAGGAGAGGUGGUGCAUGGCCGUCGUCAGCUCGUACCGUAGGGCGUUCACUUAAGUGUGAUAACGAGCGAGACCCACAUCUUUAAUUGCAAAUGUAUAUGAGAAUAUGCAUGCACUUUAGAGAAACCGCCAGCGCUAAGCUGGAGGAAGGAGUGGUCGACGGCAGGUCAGUACGCCCCGAAUUUCCCGGGCUACACGCGCAUUACAAAGAACGGGACAAUACGUUGCAACCUCGAAAGAGGAAGCUAAUCGCGAAACCCGUCCAUAGUUAGGAUUGAGG
RNAcentral lists this ribosomal RNA (750 nucleotides) under uncultured bacterium. RNAcentral describes it as "bacterial SSU rRNA". It matches the Rfam family "Archaeal small subunit ribosomal RNA", at positions 507 to 1259 of the family's 1478-position model. The record is from RNAcentral.